UUUGCCAACCACCUUAAAAUGGAAAAGCAGGUGUUCUACAGCAAAAGGCCAGCAAGGUGAAUCUCCAGGAACAGAAUCCUUCAGAAAUAUCUUCUGUCCUCAAAGAACGGCACAUGCAUUUGGAAGAACGUGAUGAUCCAUUGGCUGCGAUCUCUGUGGCGGAAUGCUGCUGGGACCCCCUUCUAACCUCCCCCCAACCCUCCCCUUGAGUUCAUCCACCCACUCAUUAGGAAUUCCAGCCGGGCAUUGUGGGUGGGAUGAAUGGAGUCAGAGCCAAGG
This is a long non-coding RNA of Sinocyclocheilus anshuiensis, 279 nucleotides long. RefSeq lists it as uncharacterized. Lineage: Eukaryota; Metazoa; Chordata; Actinopteri; Cypriniformes; Cyprinidae. The transcript has 3 exons. The record is from RefSeq and is a predicted model, not a curated record.